Long non-coding RNA from Silurus meridionalis, 411 nucleotides. RefSeq lists it as uncharacterized. NCBI's taxonomy places the organism in Eukaryota, Metazoa, Chordata, Actinopteri, Siluriformes, Siluridae. The transcript has 2 exons. The record is from RefSeq and is a predicted model, not a curated record.
CAGAAAAGGCAGUGUGCGACACGCACGUCUCCGAUGGCUCUGCGCAACAGGAAACGCACCAGAGGACUGUCCAGGAUGACACUGUCUGGCUGGUUGAAGUUGGGAGUGCUGGACCGGGUGUUUCCGCUUCCUGGGGUUGACGGCCAAAGACCCAACAGCUUCCUACCACACGUCAAAAUGCUGCAACACAGGAAAACACACAGCUCAAUCCCACCAUCCUGACAUCCGCUUCUGGAUAAACACUACAGCAGCAAACUUGCAGUAAUAUUAUAACACAUUGUGUUUAUGUUUUUUUUUCCUUCUGCUUUCAGCAUGUUUUGAAUGUUUCCACACUGAAAGAAAGUCAUUUUUAAAGAAUGCUGCCAUUCCAAUGAAUAUCUGGGGAAAAAAUAAACGAUAAGUUCACAUUUA